AUACUAGGAAAGCAAUAACAGGUUAUAGAAAUACAGAAUGAGUCUGAAAAAAAUAAUAGCACAUAGGAUCAAAUCUAAAACACCAGGCAUGGUGACUCAGGCCUGUAAUCCCAGUGGUUCAGGAGACUGAGGCAGGAGGAUCAGAAAUUUGGGACCAGCUUUGGCAACUUGCCAACACCCUGUCUCAAAAUAUAACAAGGGUUAGAGACGCAGCUGAGUGGUAAAGUACCCCUGGGUUCAAUCCCCAGUUCUGCCCCACCGCACACAAAAGUAGAAUGUCAGCUUCAAGGGGACAAGGAUGGAACCAAGGGGAAACACGGAUAAAUCCUCAAGCUUAAUUUGCUUUUAACUAAUGCUUUCAUCACCAAUUUUAUGGGU
RNAcentral lists this long non-coding RNA (378 nucleotides) under Marmota monax (woodchuck). The record is from RNAcentral. Lineage: Eukaryota; Metazoa; Chordata; Mammalia; Rodentia; Sciuridae.